UGAGGAAUAUUGGUCAAUGGACGAGAGUCUGAACCAGCCAAGUAGCGUGCAGGAUGACGGCCCUAUGGGUUGUAAACUGCUUUUGUUUGGGAAUAAUCGACAUUACGUGUAAUGUUUUGCAUGUACCAUUCGAAUAAGGACCGGCUAAUUCCGUGCCAGCAGCCGCGGUAAUACGGAAGGUCCAGGCGUUAUCCGGAUUUAUUGGGUUUAAAGGGAGUGUAGGCGGUUGGUUAAGCGUGUUGUGAAAUGUAGAUGCUCAACAUCUGACUUGCAGCGCGAACUAGCUGACUUGAGUACACACAACGUAGGCGGAAUUCAUGGUGUAGCGGUGAAAUGCUUAGAUAUCAUGAAGAACUCCGAUUGCAAAGGCAGCUUACGGGAGUGUUACUGACGCUUAAGCUCGAAGGUGCGGGUAUCGAACAGG
Molecule: ribosomal RNA, 424 nt
Filed under: Verrucomicrobiota bacterium
Lineage: Bacteria; Pseudomonadati; Verrucomicrobiota
Description: Verrucomicrobia bacterium partial 16S ribosomal RNA
Rfam family: Bacterial small subunit ribosomal RNA
Source: RNAcentral